CACUGCAACUAUGAUUUCACCAGGAUAAUGUACUGCAACAUCAUUGUCAUCUGAAAUCUCUACUCUUGGAAAGAGAUUUCAGCCUUUGAAUUAAGCAGCAGUUCACUCUCAGUGCUACAGGCGAUAAAAGGGAAUAUUCCAGUCCCCGUGUCCAUCACGGCUGCUCUGCCAAGCAGAGUUAACAGGUUUGCCCUGAAGACAGGUGGUCCUGAGCAAUAACUGCCCCCUGCCAGCCUUGCCUGGGUGCCUUCUGUCUCUCUGCU
Long non-coding RNA from Pseudopodoces humilis (Tibetan ground-tit), 263 nucleotides. RefSeq lists it as uncharacterized. Lineage: Eukaryota; Metazoa; Chordata; Aves; Passeriformes; Paridae. The record is from RefSeq and is a predicted model, not a curated record.